CCUUUUUCUCCUUCUUAAUUCAAACGGUCAACUUUCCUUCUCUCUCUCUCCCCUCACUUCUCGGCUGCGCCCUUUCUCUUCAGCUAUCUAUCUCUUCCCGUGCGAGUUCUUUUCUUAGUUCCACCCUUUUGAGCGUCAAUCCUUCCGUAAUGUCGUCGUUGGUUAAGUGUCAGCGACGAUCCGACGAGGGAAGCUCUGGCACUGCCUCUGCCUCCGUGCAUCACAAGCUCAACUCAGCCCUUAGCUGCCAAAUUUUCCAGCCACGAGCUUCUCUUCACUCGGAAUUCUCCAAUCAAGUUUGAUUGAGGUAGCUCUCCCGAUUGUUGAGCCUGAGAUCAGCCUAACUGCUGGAGUCACUUUUACCUUAGCUAGCCAUGAGGGCAGCUCCUCUUAAGCACUAGUCUCCACUCCAUCUUCCUCCACUGAUGUCUUGAUCCUCCUUGAUCGAUUGCUCCAAUCCACUCCAGCCAUGGUCCGAGAAGUCAAGGCUAUAGAGCCAGUUGCUCCGGCCACAGCUGUUGUAGUCCUAGCUGAUGUGAGGGCUGCAAGGAAUCUUAUGAUGGCUUACUUUUGAAAGCCUAUUCACAAGGCAGGGAUGGAAGUUGAUCUAGAUGCACUCCACCAAGCAGUUGAUAUUCUACUUGCACCUCCUAAUCUACCAGCUGAGCUGCACAAUUCUCUCAGCCGAUUACAUGGGUGAGUAGCUGCACUCUUACACAACUAAAAUUUUGAUAUGGCUACCAGGACGUCAAUGAUGGAGAAACUGGAUAGCUUGAAGUUGUCCUUUAGUGUAGCUGAGGAGACUAGAGAGUAGCUGACAGGAUUAAAAGAGCUGAAAGCGAAACCAAAGUAGCCCGCUUGGAGCAGGAACUAGCUACAGCUAAGGAAGAGCUGAAGAGAAUGGGGGAGGAGUUCCGCGCAGCGGAGGCGUAGCAGUGGUGCAGAUGGAAAUCCUCCGUCCUUUAGCCGAGGAGGCCCCAAGGCUAAGAGUCAGGAGGAAUCAACUGAGCUCUAGCGUAGUUGGCCAUAGUGAGGCAUGGGCUGACCUUCAGUAGCUUGCAGCUAACCUACUUGAGUUCUUCCAUGAUCAACCACUCCAGUGACAUCCCAGCCGAUGACUUGACUUAGCCGUGUAUCGGCUCUUUGAACAUUUUAAGUAUUAGCUGUUGAUCGACUUUUAACUUUAUUUCUCUUUAGACUUGAUGAUAGCCAUAAGGCCAACCAAUUUUGAAAUAUUGACUUUUUUUGGUGGCCGAGUAGCCUACCACUCAAUUAUGCACUUUCGUGAAUCGACCUUUAAUUGGAUGUAUUUGGAUUUUCUUCACUA
Non-coding RNA from Punica granatum (pomegranate), 1327 nucleotides. NCBI's taxonomy places the organism in Eukaryota, Viridiplantae, Streptophyta, Magnoliopsida, Myrtales, Lythraceae. The record is from RefSeq and is a predicted model, not a curated record.